GACGAACGCUGGCGGCGCGCUUAACACAUGCAAGUCGAACGGAAAGGCCUGCUUUCCCUUGUGGAUUGCGGGUACUCGAGUGGCGAACGGGUGAGUAACACGUGAGUGAUCUGCCCCCAACUUGGGUAUAAGCCUGGGAAACUGGGUCUAAUUCCCGAUAGGACUGCAGGGUGGUGCCUGUGGUGGAAAACGAUUUUCUAGUGGUUGGGGAUGAGCUCGCGGCCUAUCAGCUUGUUGGUGGGGUAAUGGCCUACCAAGGCGGCGACGGGUAGCCGGCCUGAGAGGGUGGACGGCCACAUUGGGACUGCGAUACGGCCCAGACUCCUACGGGAGGCAGCAGUGGGGAAUAUUGCGCGAUGGGCGGAAGCCUGAUGCAGCGACGCCGCGUGGGGGAUGACGGCCUUCGGGUUGUAAUCUCCUUGCGACCGCGAGGAAGCCACCUGGUUGGAAGGGUGGUGACGGUAGUGGUAGAAGAAGCACCGGCUAACUACGUG
Molecule: ribosomal RNA, 494 nt
Filed under: uncultured bacterium
Lineage: Bacteria
Description: partial 16S ribosomal RNA
Rfam family: Bacterial small subunit ribosomal RNA
Source: RNAcentral